UACGGAGGAUCCAAGCGUUAUCCGGAAUCAUUGGGUUUAAAGGGUCCGGUUAAGGGCGGCCGUUAUAAGUCAGUGGUGAAAGCCCCAAUCGCUCAACGAUGGAACUGCCAUUGAUACUGUAAGGCUUGAAUUAUUGUGAAGUAACUAGAAUAUGUAGUGUAGCGGUGAAAUGCUUAGAUAUUACAUGGAAUACCAAUUGCGAAGGCAGGUUACUAACAAUGGAUUGACGCUGAUGGACGAAAGCGUGGGGAGCGGAACAGGAUUAGAUACCCCGGUAGU
RNAcentral lists this ribosomal RNA (279 nucleotides) under uncultured bacterium. RNAcentral describes it as "partial 16S ribosomal RNA". It matches the Rfam family "Bacterial small subunit ribosomal RNA", at positions 524 to 794 of the family's 1533-position model. The record is from RNAcentral.